Molecule: ribosomal RNA, 460 nt
Filed under: uncultured bacterium
Lineage: Bacteria
Description: partial 16S ribosomal RNA
Rfam family: Bacterial small subunit ribosomal RNA
Source: RNAcentral
CCUACGGGAGGCAGCAGUGAGGAAUAUUUGUCAAUGGGCGGAAGCCUGAACCAGCCAAGCAGCGUGCAGGAUGACGGCCCUUCGGGUUGUAAACUGCUUUUAUACGGGAAUAACGCGCCUUACGUGUAGGGCUUUGCAUGUACCGUAUGAAUAAGGACCGGCUAAUUCCGUGCCAGCAGCCGCGGGAAGACGGAAGGUCCGGGCGUUUUCCGGAUUUAUUGGGUGUAAAGGGAGGGUAGGGGGCAUGUCAAGCGUGCUGUGAAAUGUCCGGGCUCAACCCGGGACUUGCAGCGGGGACUGGGGUGCUUGAGUGCGCGGAAGGCAGGCGGAAUUCGUGGUGGAGCGGUGAAAUGCUUAGAUAUGACGAAGAACCCCGAUUGCGAAGGCAGCUUGCUGCAGCGGAACUGACGCUGAUGCUCGAAAGCGCGGGUAUCGAACAGGAUUAGAUACCCCUGUAGUC